Long non-coding RNA from Herpailurus yagouaroundi (jaguarundi), 1178 nucleotides. RefSeq lists it as uncharacterized. The transcript is spliced from 3 exons. The record is from RefSeq and is a predicted model, not a curated record. Lineage: Eukaryota; Metazoa; Chordata; Mammalia; Carnivora; Felidae.
UUUUUUUUUUUUUAAUUGAAAGGUGGACGUUGUGUGUGACAGGUGGUGGAGGGUCUGGUUGAUGGCCUCUUCUCCCACAGAGAACUUCACUUCCUUCUCCAGACAGAGUCCCUUCCAGGGUCCCAACGGUAAGCCAGAUCAGAGCAGGCUGAAGAGUGAGCCCAAUGGCAGCAAAGACAGCCUUUGUAAGAAGUGUGCCCGGAAGGGAAGAGAGCGCCAGGAAGGUGAUGUGGGGGCUCGGGAGAGCAGGGAGGUGAGAGACACCAGCACGCAUAUGUGGGCAUAUGUGGGCGGAUGGGAAGGAGGCUCCACCAUGGGAUGUGUGGGCAGCCCCGGGAGAACCGGGGUGGGGAGCUGGGGCAGGAGUGCGGGGCCCCGAGCCUGGGGAGGCGGGCUUUGGCCAGGAUGGGGUACCAACCGCCUCAUAGGGUGAGGGGAGGAAACGCUAGCUCGGGCCUGCCAGGUGUAUGGGACUUGGGCUGGGUCGCCGCCUGCAUUUGUGUGCGUCUCCAGGCGGCUCUUUCCCGGACUGGCUGAGCCACUCCAGUCCCUCACCCAGGCCCCCUUUCCAGCCUGAUGGAAAGAGGAGCCCAGAGAGGAGCCCAACCACUUUCCCUCUGGAAUCUGCUGCCUCGGCUUUCGGAUGGAGAAACCAUCUGGAGUGUAUUACGGGCGGUGGAGAAAGCCGAGAGCAGGAAAAUAUGAAACGGAGGUCCAGAGAGGGAUAGUAACUUCCCCCAGGAUCACACAGCAAGUCAGGGGGAACCAGAUCAGAGGGGUGAGGGCCCUCUAGGCUCUUCCGGGGGGGGGGGGGGGGGGGGGGGGCGGGGCAGGAGCCCCUCCCCUGCACAGCCCCAGCUCCAGACGUGGCAGGGCCAGCAGGAGUGAGGUUUCUCUGCUCCCUCCCAAGUGCCCUGCUGGCGGCUCCCGAAAUAAAAAUCAAAUGUGGGCUUGGCAGAGCGAGCGGGGUGUGGGAGAGCAACCGGCAGCGAGUGGCGGCAACGCUGGGUUUCAUUCUUUCCAUUGUAACUUCACCUCCUAACCUCUGGCAUUUUAAUUAUUCUCCUACCCGCUUGCUGCUGCUGCUGCUGCUGCUGUUGGGGCCAGAGGGUGAGCUCACCCUUUCCUCCGGCCAGGGAGGGGGCGGCCGCUGCCGGGACCCCCAGCCUCCAGCCUGC